GAUGAACGCUGGCGGCGUGCCUAACACAUGCAAGUCGAGCGAUCUUCUUCGGAAGAGAGCGGCGGACGGGUGAGUAACGCGUGGGUAACCUGCCUCAUACACAUGGAUAACAUACCGAAAGGUAUGCUAAUACAAGAUGAUAUAAGAGAUUCGCAUGGAUUUCUUAUCAAAGCUCCGGCGGUAUGAGAUGGACCCGCGUCUGAUUAGCUAGUUGGUAAGGUAACGGCUUACCAAGGCGACGAUCAGUAGCCGACCUGAGAGGGUGAUCGGCCACAUUGGAACUGAGACACGGUCCAAACUCCUACGGGAGGCAGCAGUGGGGAAUAUUGCACAAUGGGCGAAAGCCUGAUGCAGCAACGCCGCGUGAGCGAUGAAGGCCUUCGGGUCGUAAAGCUCUGUCCUCAAGGAAGAUAAUGACGGUACUUGAGGAGGAAGCCCCGGCUAACUACGUGCCAGCAGCCGCGGUAAUACGUAGGGGGCUAGCGUUAUCCGGAUUUACUGGGCGUAAAGGGUGCGUAGGUGGUUUCUUAAGUCAGGAGUGAAAGGCUACGGCUCAACCGUAGUAAGCUCUUGAAACUGGGAAACUUGAGUGCAGGAGAGGAAAGUGGAAUUCCUAGUGUAGCGGUGAAAUGCGUAGAUAUUA
Molecule: ribosomal RNA, 643 nt
Filed under: uncultured Clostridium sp.
Lineage: Bacteria; Bacillati; Bacillota; Clostridia; Eubacteriales; Clostridiaceae
Description: bacterial SSU rRNA
Rfam family: Bacterial small subunit ribosomal RNA
Source: RNAcentral